GUACGGGAGGCAGCAGUGGGGAAUUUUGCGCAAUGGGGGAAACCCUGACGCAGCAACGCCGCGUGAGUGAUGAAGGCCUUCGGGUCGUAAAGCUCUGUCAGAGGGGAAGAAAUGAAAAGUGCUAAUACCACUUUUUCUUGACGGUACCCUCAAAGGAAGCACCGGCUAACUCCGUGCCAGCAGCCGCGGUAAUACGGAGGGUGCAAGCGUUGUUCGGAUUUAUUGGGCGUAAAGCGCGUGUAGGCGGUUUCUUAAGUCUGAUGUGAAAGCCCUGGGCUCAACCCAGGAAGUGCAUUGGAUACUGGGAGACUUGAAUACGGGAGAGGGUAGUGGAAUUCCUAGUGUAGGAGUGAAAUCCGUAGAUAUUAGGAGGAACACCGGUGGCGAAGGCGGCUACCUGGACCGAUAUUGACGCUGAGACGCGAAAGCGUGGGGAGCAAACAGGAUUAGAUACCCCCGUAGUCCG
This 466-nucleotide ribosomal RNA is filed under the name uncultured bacterium. RNAcentral's name for it is "bacterial SSU rRNA". It matches the Rfam family "Bacterial small subunit ribosomal RNA", at positions 339 to 797 of the family's 1533-position model. The record is from RNAcentral.